AUCCAGCUGACGAGUCUCGAAUAGGACGAAACGCGUGUACUGGAU
Molecule: non-coding RNA, 45 nt
Filed under: Schistosoma mattheei
Lineage: Eukaryota; Metazoa; Platyhelminthes; Trematoda; Strigeidida; Schistosomatidae
Source: RNAcentral